Microcebus murinus (gray mouse lemur) is the source of this 2479-nucleotide non-coding RNA. The record is from RefSeq and is a predicted model, not a curated record. NCBI's taxonomy places the organism in Eukaryota, Metazoa, Chordata, Mammalia, Primates, Cheirogaleidae.
CACCAGUACUCUUGUGCUUUGAGGCCAUUAUUAAGUGACAUAAGGGUUCCUUCCACACAAGCACUGUGACGUCACAGACCUGACAACCAGGAUGGCACCUGGGUGACAAAGCGUAGACAGCACAGAUCCAGUGGACAAAAGGAGGAGGAUUCACAUCCCAAGCAGCACAGAACAGGAUGGCACGAGAUUUCACACUUCUCAGAAAGAAUACCACUGGUGAAGACUGAAACAUUGUGUGUGUGUCUACAUGUGUCUGUGUAUGUGCAUGCAGUAUACACAUGUGCACAGCAAUCACUACAAAAGAGAAGCAGAACACGUGAAAAUAGAAGAAAUUCCGAUAGUUUUAUGCUGAGCCUUUCUUGAAAGCUCCUACAAUCAGCUAUAGGCCAAUGUGCAUCAUCUUCAACAAAGAAAGACUGUCUUAGAGACUUACUUGGAGAACAAACCAUGACAGGUACUCUGGAAUAGACUUCUGAUGACAUGGCUUAAAUACCUUUAGGAUUAUGCCACUAGACUAAGGAUUUCCAUAACUGACGGAGAAGCCGAUGGAUUCAUAAAUCCAUAACCUAAGAUCAAGCAGAAGAAAAAUUCAUCACAUGGGACAGAAUCAACCAAUAACAAAUGAUUAUAAUUUUUAUGGCUUUUUUGACUAAAUCCUUGCUGGUUGGUUAACGUUCUAUUUUCUGGAUGUAAGGAACGCUUUUCUCUUUUCUCUUAAACUAUCUAUAACUCACAAUAAUUUAAUAGAUUAUACCUUUAUAAACAAAAAUGAAAUAUUUAUCUUUUCCCCUUACCAGAUUUCUCCAAAAUUCAGAAAGUCAUAUUGAGUACUCCUAUUUUGUUGGCAAUACAGUUAUUCACAUAAGUUACUUGUUUAUUUCUUUUUUUAUUGUCUUAUGUACUGAGAAAACAGAUAUUCACACAAGUUCAAUAAGAAUCUGUUUUCCUUGUAAGAGGACACAAUUGGAAACACUGGUUAUAUUACUAAGGCUUUGACUGAAAUGUCACAUUUAAGCAUGAUGUGUAUAAAAUCAGACUUAAUCAAAGGGUUUUAAGGAACUGAACUUGACUUUAUAUAGCCAAUGCUUAAAAAGCUCCCUUGGAAAACCAGGCUGCAAUCUGGUUUAUAGGGUUCCCAGAAUUACAGGUGAAUAACGAAGGUCACUUUUUGGCAGGUUGAGGAAGCUUAGGAUAUUUUGGACACCUUGAAAAGAGAGAAAUUCACCCAAAUCUAUAGGUAUUGCAUGAAAGUCUGAUGGCAAGUUCUUAGCUUGGUUUAUUACUCUCUUUACAUUUUAAAAGUCUGAUCUCAGAUUCCUUAUUAAAAGUUUCAGAAGAGCAAGCUUAAAAAGGCCUAUGUGCUAUAUUAUCAUCUUGCUGCACUUACAUAAAUAAUCAGGCCAAAUUUAAUGAGACUAGACUCAGUUGGCAAACGCAAACAGGCAUCCUUUGAUUAUCGUUGAUCAAAAUGAGGGUGACUGUAGAGAGAAAUUCUGUUCCGAUGAAAAACUAUAACUCACCCUGGUGAGUGUUCAUUGUCACUGAGCUAUUUUCACCCCUCUGUAAACUGAACCCUGCCAUUUUGCAAUCAGUGUUUCCAAUUUCCUUCCAACCCUGUGACUUGGCAUCACUGAGAACUAAAACUGCCCUUUUCCUGACACUGGACAACUUGAUAGAACUUCGAAGAAUUUAUCAUCACAACAGUUUGGACCACUUGGGAAGCUCACCAAGAACAAACUCUGGGAAACACUCAUGAUUGUGAGCCUUGUCACUUGGUUAAACAGGUAACUAGGUGUCGUUUCAUAGUGAUCUGGGAUCAUGCCACUAUCAUCCUUGAUCAGCCAUCAAAAGACACUUGGAGUUUAACAUUUAGGAAUCUUCUCAACUGACUGCCCUCUGGACUCAAAAACUGGGUGUAUAGUCUGCUCCAAACAUUAAUCUUUGUUUUUCUUUUGUUUUCAUAGAAAUGCCCUCAUUGAGUACCUGAUUGCUCACAACACAUAAAAGGCAAAACUUCAGGGGGGCGCACUACUCCCAACUGUGAGCUACCUCCUGAAAUGAGACACAACUGUUUCAUUAGACUGGCCUAUUUCCAGUACUAAGAGACUAGUUUAAGGAGAUAGGUGGAAAUGUGCUUAGAUUUGCUUUUUUCUGCUUAUUUAUUCUCGUUCUGAUCUAUGCUCUUCUUGUCCUUUGCAGAUCUCUUACAUCUUAGGAACUAACUCAGAUCUUCUCUCCAUAGCCACCAACUCAGUUUUUGAUGUGUGAAACUUCCUGGACAGUUUCAGCCGGGUAGAAAUGAAGGAGAUCAUAAUAUGCCACCCCCAAAUAUGCCACCUUAGCACAGAAACUAUUUUGAGCUGAAACAGAUGCAGAAAUAGUUCUUUGUCUGCUCCUUGUAUGCCUGAAAGCAGAGCAUAAAUUUCCCUUUGCGAAAUAUGCUCUCUCCCCCACCCCACCAGGAAGAAAAAAAAUGAUC